UACAGAGGUCUCAAGCGUUGUUCGGAUUCAUUGGGCGUAAAGGGCGCGUAGGCGGCAAUUCAAGUCAGCUGUGAAAUCUCCGGGCUUAACUCGGAACGGUCAGCUGAUACUGCUUUGCUAGAGUGCAGAAGGGGCAAUCGGAAUUCUUGGUGUAGCGGUGAAAUGCGUAGAUAUCAAGAGGAACACCUGAGGUGAAGACGGGUUGCUGGGCUGACACUGACGCUGAGGCGCGAAAGCUAGGGUAGCAAACGGG
RNAcentral lists this ribosomal RNA (253 nucleotides) under uncultured bacterium. RNAcentral describes it as "partial 16S ribosomal RNA". It matches the Rfam family "Bacterial small subunit ribosomal RNA", at positions 524 to 776 of the family's 1533-position model. The record is from RNAcentral.